AUGAUGGCGUGUGUGUUGGCUCUUCUCGUCCUGUCCCUCCUCCUGAUUGGUCCGUCAGCGUCACCUCCGUCUUCAGGUGACGUGUCAGAGGGGGCGGAGCCGGCCUCUCACUGCCCGCCGCGCUGGCUCCUGUUGGGGCAGAGAUGCUUCGCUUUCUACCCCGUGUGGAGCUCCUGGAGCUCUGCUGAGUCCAUGUGCUCUCAGACAGGGGGUCACCUGGCUUCCCUUCACACCCCGGAGGAGAGGCUGUUCGUGGGUCAGCUGGUGAGAACACACACACCUGUGUGGCUGGGUGGACGCCGGGCCCAACAGAACGGCUCCUGGGUUUGGACUGACGAUCAGAACCAGGAAGAGACCGGCGAGGGCGGGGCUUGCAUGCAAAUGGACCCAAUAAGUGGAGAGCUGCAUGGCGCCCCCUGUGGAGAGCUCUGGUUCUACAUCUGCUCCACCGCAGCCAGGUCUGAAGACUUCCAGUCACCAGUCAAGUCAGGUCUCGCCCCCAAUGUGAGUCUGUUCCAUGCAGUGUGGGGUAAAAACGACAUGUUGGCCGAGGAGAUUCUCCGCUCAUCCUGCUUCUUCCAGGAGCUCCGGUCCGGUCGCCUGAAGCAGCGCUGCUACAGCAGCUUCAUGCAGCAGGAGGCGCUCUACCUGCAGAGAGUCAGCAGCAUGCUGGAGGUCCUGGUCAGCAGCUUACAGGAAGCAGAUGCUGUGAGAUCACUGCUGCUGGACACUCUGGAACACUACAGCAGCAGAACCCAGAACUCCAUCAAUUCACCUCCACCUCAGUGGCUACAGUCGUCCCUCCAGUCUUUCCACUUUUUGGUUUUGGAGGCAGCCGAUCUACUGGCUGGUGGCGCUGUCGGCCCGGGCCUGCCUCUAUGACUUGCUCUCCGGGGUGCAGGUCAGGACAGGGUCUGGGUCUGAACUCGUCUACCAGGACUGGAGCGAGGAGAGUCUGAAGGAAGUCGUCUGGACACAAAGGUACCCGUAAGCCAUCAGAACAUCCUCUGUGAUGGUGUUGUUGCACACAGGUCCAUUUAGAGGCUGUAAUAUUUCACGGUACUCCAUCACAAGUUCAAGUCUGGCAAAGUUCGCCUUGACCAAGUUACUCAAGAUAAUCCACAGAUGCUAGAGGAAGAGGAGGAGGAAGAUGCAUGGACUGAUAAAUGAGAGGUGGUGUUCAAUGCAGGAUGGAAACAUUAAUGGUGCCUGACUCGGUUGAACUGUAACGUUAGCUAGCUUAGCGAGCUAGCUUCUGGACCACGAGGAGAUGUACACCUCCCUCUGUAGUCUGUAGCAGCAGUUGUUUGGUUAGCAUUAGCAAGAGUCCAUGAAAGUCAGGUGGAGUGUCGUAGUCCAGCAAACAUUUCUGCAGCUGAUAAACAACCGAAGGAGCUGGAGACGUGGUUUAAAACAGGAGAAACAACCAAAACAAACACAGAAUGUCUCUGUUCAGCUCGUCUGGACUGAUCAAAGUCUCCAGAAGCUCCAAGAUCCAAAAACCAAUGACAUGUCUUCUAACUGAAUAUGUCCAACAGGUACAGACAGGUGCUGGAGAAACAUCAGGACCAGGUUGACGUGUUCAAAGCGAUCCAAGUCUUCAGGCAGCACAUGAUGAACCAGAAGAGUCUCCACAAGGCCAUGUAAGAACCAAUCAGAGCGUCCGUCUGUGGACGCGCCCGCCCGUCGCUCAGUGAGUCUCAGUCUUUACGAUGUGUGUUUCUUCUUCUGCAGAGUCUGCGAUGAUGACAUCGGUGACACCUUAUAAGGGUUGGUGUGACAGGUGAAGGUGAGUCCAACAAUUUGAUCUCAACAAGCCAUUUAAUUAAAUCGACGGUUCAAACGACUGUAACGGGACAAUAACGAGAUCGAUCUGUUUUCAGUUUGUGUCUGAACGCAAGCGACCGUCUGUUGGAACGAGACUGUUCCUGCCACCAGGGUGAAGGGAACCUCCUGAACUCCACAAGUUUAGGCUUUAUUUAUAUUUCUAUCCGUUUUGUAUGAAGUUAGUAGAACUGUUGUGAAGUGAGCGAGAGGACAGCGGAGAUGAAGAAACGUGGCGUCGCCCCAGUAAAACCUCAAACAGCUCAGAAGUCCAACAUUUAUUUACAUGAUUGUCCACAAGUUUUUUAUCCUCUGUCUGAUACAAAUUGUCAUAUUUUACAAUAAGCUACAUUUUGUUUAAGUCUGACGGGCCAGAUGGAAAAAUAAAGAUAAAAAAAAAGAUGGUGAGACUUUCUGUUUAUUUGUAUUUUUACUCCUGUUAAGUUUAGGUAAGAAAAAAAAUAAAUAAAUGUCUCUAUAAAUACAUUUAAUAUGUGAUUAAAUUGGAUUAAAGUAUAUAUUUCUGUUUUUUUAUUUGCCUCGGAAUUAAUUUACUUUUCUAUUUACUCCUCAGUUUUAUUUAUGAUUAAAAUAAAACAAGGUGAGACCUUAUGUUUAUUUCUGUUUUUACUCCUUUUAAGUCCAGGUAAGAAUUUAAAUAAAAAUAAAUAAAUAAAUCUCAAUAAAUAAAUGUAAUAUGGGAUUCAAUUCAAUUCAAAUAUAUAUUAGUUUUUUGAUUUACUCUUCAGUGUAUUUAGAAUUAUAUUCCAUCUCAAUUAUUUAAAUAAAAUAAAAAUAAAAUAAAAACAUGGUGAGACUUUCUGUUUAUUUCUGUGUUUACUCAUUUAAAGUUAACAUAAGAAUUAAA
Sparus aurata (gilthead seabream) is the source of this 2692-nucleotide long non-coding RNA. The record is from Ensembl. Lineage: Eukaryota; Metazoa; Chordata; Actinopteri; Spariformes; Sparidae.